This 301-nucleotide ribosomal RNA is filed under the name uncultured bacterium. RNAcentral describes it as "partial 16S ribosomal RNA". It matches the Rfam family "Bacterial small subunit ribosomal RNA", at positions 509 to 807 of the family's 1533-position model. The record is from RNAcentral.
CAGUCGCCGCGGGAACACGAAGGGGGCAAGCGUUGCUCGGAAUGACUGGGCGUAAAGGGCGCGUAGGUGGUGUGGACAGUCAGAUGUGAAAUUCCUGGGCUCAACCUGGGGGCUGCAUUUGAUACGUCCAAACUAGAGUGUGGAAGAGGGUCGUGGAAUUCCCAGUGUAGAGGUGAAAUUCGUAGAUAUUGGGAAGAACACCGGUGGCGAAGGCGGCGACCUGGUCCAUUACUGACGCUGAGGCGCGAAAGCGUGGGGAGCAAACAGGAUUAGAUACCCCUGUAGUCCCUGUCUCUUAUAC